This 439-nucleotide ribosomal RNA is filed under the name uncultured bacterium. RNAcentral's name for it is "partial 16S ribosomal RNA". It matches the Rfam family "Bacterial small subunit ribosomal RNA", at positions 339 to 795 of the family's 1533-position model. The record is from RNAcentral.
CUACGGGGGGCAGCAGUGAGGAAUAUUGCACAAUGGGGGGAACCCUGAUGCAGCAACGCCGCGUGGAGGAUGACGCAUUUCGGUGUGUAAACUCCUUUUAUAUGUCAAGAAAAUGACGGUAGCAUAUGAAUAAGCACCGGCUAACUCCGUGCCAGCAGCCGCGGUAAUACGGAGGGUGCAAGCGUUACUCGGAAUCACUGGGCGUAAAGGACGCGUAGGCGGGUUGGAAAGUCAGGUGUGAAAUCCUACAGCUUAACUGUAGAACUGCACUUGAAACUUCUAAUCUAGAGUAUGGGAGGGGGAGAUGGAAUUAGUGGUGUAGGGGUAAAAUCCGUAGAUAUCACUAGGAAUACCUAAAGCGAAGGCGAUCUCCUGGAACAUUACUGACGCUAAGGCGUGAAAGCGUGGGGAGCAAACAGGAUUAGAUACCCGCGUAGUC